This 427-nucleotide ribosomal RNA is filed under the name uncultured archaeon. RNAcentral's name for it is "bacterial SSU rRNA". It matches the Rfam family "Archaeal small subunit ribosomal RNA", at positions 474 to 903 of the family's 1478-position model. The record is from RNAcentral.
UACCAGCUCUCCGAGUGGUAGGGAUGAUUAUUGGGCUUAAAGCGUCCGUAGCCGGCUUGGCAAGUUUCCUGUUAAACUCUGCGACUUAAUCGUUGAAUCGCGGGAAAUACUACUAGGCUAGGAGGCGGGAGAGGUCAACGGUACUUCUGGGGUAGGGGUGAAAUCCUAUAAUCCCGGGAGAACCACCAGUGGCGAAGGCUGUUGACUAGAACGCGCUCGACGGUGAGGGACGAAAGCUGGGGGAGCGAACCGGAUUAGAUACCCGGGUAGUCCCAGCUGUAAACGAUGCGGGCUAGGUGUUGGGAUGGCUACGUGCCAUUUCAGUGCCGCAGGGAAGCCAUUAAGCCCGCCGCCUGGGGAGUACGGCCGCAAGGCUGAACUUAAGGAAUUGGCGGGGGAGCACCACAAGGCGUGAAGCUUGCGGUUC